RNAcentral lists this ribosomal RNA (443 nucleotides) under uncultured Leptolinea sp. RNAcentral's name for it is "bacterial SSU rRNA". It matches the Rfam family "Bacterial small subunit ribosomal RNA", at positions 924 to 1382 of the family's 1533-position model. Lineage: Bacteria; Bacillati; Chloroflexota; Anaerolineae; Anaerolineales; Anaerolineaceae. The record is from RNAcentral.
CACAAGCAGCGGAGCGUGUGGUUUAAUUCGAUGCUACACGAAGAACCUUACCAGGGUUUGACAUGCAAGUGGUAGGAAACCGAAAGGCGACGACCUUCGGGGAGCUUGCACAGGUGCUGCAUGGCUGUCGUCAGCUCGUGUCGUGAGAUGUUCGGUUAAGUCCGCUAACGAGCGCAACCCUCGCUGUGUGUUACAAGUGUCACACGGUACUGCCGGUCUUAAAGCCGGAGGAAGGUGGGAUGACGUCAAGUCAGCAUGGCCUUUAUGUCCUGGGCUACACACACGCUACAAUGGCCAACACAAUAGGUUGCUAAGCCGCGAGGUGGAGCCAAUCCUCAAAGUUGGUCUCAGUUCAGAUUGCAGGCUGCAACCCGCCUGCAUGAAGAUGGAGUUGCUAGUAACCGCAGGUCAGCUAUACUGCGGUGAAUACGUUCCCGGGGCUU